RNAcentral lists this long non-coding RNA (674 nucleotides) under Homo sapiens (human). RNAcentral's name for it is "uncharacterized LOC105375976 (LOC105375976)". The record is from RNAcentral. Lineage: Eukaryota; Metazoa; Chordata; Mammalia; Primates; Hominidae.
ACAUUGACAACACCUGAAUUCCGGAGUAGCUGCCUCAAACUAUAGCAAUUAACAAGUUAAGUGAAUCACAUGUGCUCUAUUAGGGUAAAAGAAAAGCUUUCACGCAAAUCGCUCUAGAACUUUUUUAUCUUGACUCCAAAGUGACCCAGAAGCAGUGACUUUCCAGUGCUAAGGAGCAUAUCUCACAACCAGAUCAUGACUUCUAAAACACAAGGACUUAAAAGGAACAAGGACUUUUCUGAGAAAUGACUGAUUUCCUAUGACUGAAAAGGAAACUGACUUUACGUUUACCAGAUCCACCAGGUCAAAUGUGAAGGUUUUCAAAUCACCAACGAGUCUCAUUUCGUAUGUGGAAAAGAAAACAUAAAGAGAGAGAUACAUUUUCAGCAUCUUGUGUUGCUGAAAUAUUCAAUUUCUAGUAAUUUCUCCAUUGAGCAUGUAAUUUUUUAUUUGAGUGAUGACCAUGACUAUUUUCACUAUUGACAGCUUCAGUCCUACUGCCAACCGUGUUAGUUACUUUACUUGUUUAAAUCUGAGUUGUUGUAAAAAAAAAAAAAAAAAGUGAAGAAAAACACUCAUAAUUUUUCUCUCAUGUUUUCUUCUUAGUUUAUCUGUGACCUUGAAGUCUUUGAAUGUAAAGGUUAUCAGACAGAAUAAAGAAAAUUUAAAAUGAC